GACGAACCGAGCGACCGUUGUUCGGAUUCACUGGGCGUAAAGGGUGCGUAGGCGGUCGGGUAAGUCUGACGUGAAAUCUUCAAGCUCAACUUGGAAACUGCGUCGGAUACUAUUCGGCUAGAGGAAUGGAGGGGAGACUGGAAUACUUGGUGUAGCAGUGAAAUGCGUAGAUAUCAAGUGGAACACCAGUGGCGAAGGCGAGUCUCUGGACAUUUCCUGACGCUGAGGCACGAAAGCCAGGGGAGCAAACGGG
Molecule: ribosomal RNA, 253 nt
Filed under: uncultured bacterium
Lineage: Bacteria
Description: partial 16S ribosomal RNA
Rfam family: Bacterial small subunit ribosomal RNA
Source: RNAcentral